This is a non-coding RNA of Danio rerio (zebrafish), 589 nucleotides long. The record is from Ensembl. Lineage: Eukaryota; Metazoa; Chordata; Actinopteri; Cypriniformes; Danionidae.
GGCUCUCGGGGUUCAGAAAGAUGUAGGUACUCUCACUUUUCUUUCUCCAAGACGUUUCGCCGCUGAAAACUUUUAUACGGUACAUUACAAUCAAGUUUCAAUCCUUACCAGUUUCCGGACAUCGCCGCAGUGUUAUUGGGGAAAAGAGUCCAGGAUUGCAAAAAAAGGCUCUGGUUUUUAAGGAGUGUUUUACAAGUUGGAGGCAUCCAGAGUCUGACGGGAUAGGACUGAGCCACUGUGUUUCACAAAAACUAUUCCGCUAACCUUUCAGCUGUAAGAAGCUCACUUCAGGAUCUGCCCCAUCCUGGUGGGUCACUCAGCCGGACUGAUGUGGAAUGCGACCCUUUAUGACCCCAUCCCACGGGCCUCUAUUCAAUGAGCCGGACUCGGGAGAGCACAGAUAAUAGAAGCAAGAGGCUGCCCCACAAAAAAGAGUGAAGUAACAGCAGCAGGAGUGUUCGGACUGGUAAGAAAGUUAAAGGGGCCCUUAAAGGUGGGGAAAAAGAGCUUAAAACACAAAAGAGCAGGAAUAAAGAGACCUGUGAAAACAAAAGUCUUUCUUGGGACUGCAAGGCUUUCAUAAAAGCAA